RNAcentral lists this long non-coding RNA (799 nucleotides) under Marmota monax (woodchuck). Lineage: Eukaryota; Metazoa; Chordata; Mammalia; Rodentia; Sciuridae. The record is from RNAcentral.
UGUCCACCUACACUGACUGUUAGUGGAGUACCAAGUCAAUUCCCAAGAUGGUCUCAAGUUAGAGGCAUAAUUUAAUUUAUGAACUAAUAUAGUCAUCCCAAACUCAGAUCCAUUUGAGGUCAAAAGCAGUUUCCCCAGUGUUCAGAAAUUCCUCUCUGAACUUCCUGCCACUUUCACCAGCCCCCAUUCUUCCUCCUCUCCCUCUAUUCUUUUCUAUUAUCAGGCCUGAUAUAGGUUGAAUUGUGCUCCACCCCUGGAAGUCCUAGUCCUCAGGACCUUGGAAUAUGACCUUAUUGUGAAAUAAUAUCCACUUGGAUAUAAUUAACUAAGAUCAAGUCAUACUGGAGUAGGAUGGGCCAAACAUGACUGUGUCCAUAUAAGAAGACCAUGUGAAGACACAGAGACAUAAGGAGAAAAUGAUGUAAAGAAGGAGUGAUAAAUCAAUGACCAAGGAACACCAAUGAUAGCCACCUAUCACUAGAAGCUAGGAAAGGGCGAGACAACAGAUUUACCCUCAGAGACUUCAGGAAGAAACAACCCUACCAACACCUUGAUUUUAGACAUCUAGCUUCUAGAACUAUAAGAAUACAAAUUUCUGUUCUUUUAAGCCACCCAAUUUGUAGUACUAUAUGGCAGUCCGGGAGGUAAAUACAAAACUAUACAGUCCUUUCUGAGCCUAGACUCCAUAGGGAGACUGUAUUAGUCCAUUUUCUGUUACUAUAAAGAAAUACCUGAGACUGGGUGCUCAUAAAGAGAAGAGGUUUAUUUAGCUUAUGUUUUAGAAGCUGAAAGUCCAAAC